Molecule: ribosomal RNA, 587 nt
Filed under: uncultured organism
Description: bacterial SSU rRNA
Rfam family: Bacterial small subunit ribosomal RNA
Source: RNAcentral
UUCGACCCCUUCCGUGUCGAAGCUUACGCGAUAAGCUCACCGCCUGAGGAGUACGGCCGCAAGGCUAAAACUCAAAGAAAUUGACGGGGACCCGCACAACCGGUGGAGUAUGUGGCUUAAUUCGAUGCAACGCGAAGAACCUUACCUGGCCUUGACAUGCAUUGUGUCGUCGGUGAAAGCCGGCUAGUCCUGGAAACAGGACGCUUUGCACAGGUGCUGCAUGGCUGUCGUCAGCUCGUGUCGUGAGAUGUUGGGUUAAGUCCCGCAACGAGCGCAACCCUUGUGGUCAGUUACUAACCGGCUUAGCCGGAGGACUCUGGCCAGACUGCCCUGUCAAACGGGGAGGAAGGUGGGGACGACGUCAAGUCAGUAUGGCCCUUAUGGCCAGGGCUGCACACGUACUACAAUGCCCGGUACAAUGUGAACCGAAACCGCGAGGUGGAGGAAAUCGCUCUUGAAAACCGGGCCCAGUUCGGAUUGGAGUCUGCAACUCGACUCCAUGAAGUCGGAAUCGCUAGUAAUGGCGUAUCAGCAACGACGCCGUGNUACGUUCCCGGUUCUGUACACACCGCCCGUCACAUCAUGGA